This 280-nucleotide ribosomal RNA is filed under the name Heterosigma akashiwo. Its description in RNAcentral is "partial Eukaryotic large subunit ribosomal RNA". It matches the Rfam family "Eukaryotic large subunit ribosomal RNA", at positions 923 to 1207 of the family's 3401-position model. Lineage: Eukaryota; Raphidophyceae; Chattonellales; Chattonellaceae. The record is from RNAcentral.
GCGAAAGACUAAUCGAACCAUCUAGUAGCUGGUUCCUUCCGAAGUUUCCCACAGGAUAGCUGGAAUUGCACAGUUUUACCAUGUAAAGCGAAUGAUUAGAGGAAUUGGGGACAUGAUGACCUUGACCUAUUCUCAAACUUUAAAUGGGUAAGCUGUAAUGGUUGCUUUGGUGAACUUUCGCAUAAAAUGGCAAUAUCAAGUGGGCCAUUUUUGGUAAGCAGAACUGGCGAUGCGGGAUGAACCGAACGCGAGGUUAAGGUGCCGGAAUUCACGCUCAUCA